GGUUAAGUGACUAAGCGUACACGGUGGAUGCCUUGGCAGUCAGAGGCGAUGAAAGACGUAGUAACUUGCGAUAAGCCCAGAUUAGGUAGUAACAACCAUUUGAGUCUGGGAUUUCUGAAUGGGGAAACCCACGUGCAUAAGCACGUAUCCUUACCUGAAUACAUAGGGUAAGGAGGCGAACCGGGGGAACUGAAACAUCUAAGUACCCCGAGGAAAAGAAAUCAACCGAGAUUCCGAAAGUAGCGGCGAGCGAAAUUGGACUAGCCCUUAAGCUUUACACGCGUUAGACGAACGGUCUGGAAAGUCCGACGAUACAGGGUGAUAGUCCCGUAGUUGACGACGUGUGUUCAGUGAAAUCGAGUAGGGCGGGACACGUGAUAUCCUGUCUGAAUAUGGGGGGACCAUCCUCCAAGGCUAAAUACUACUGACUGACCGAUAGUGAACCAGUACCGUGAGGGAAAGGCGAAAAGAACCCCUGUGAGGGGAGUGAAAUAGAACCUGAAACCGUGUACGUACAAGCAGUAGGAGCAGGCUUUGUCCUGUGACUGCGUACCUUUUGUAUAAUGGGUCAGCGACUUAUAUUCAGUGGCAAGGUUAACCAUCUAGGGGAGCCGUAGGGAAACCGAGUCUUAACUGGGCGUUCAGUCUCUGGAUAUAGACCCGAAACCAGGUGAUCUAGCCAUGGGCAGGUUGAAGGUUGAGUAACAUCAACUGGAGGACCGAACCGACUAAUGUUGAAAAAUUAGCGGAUGACUUGUGGCUAGGGGUGAAAGGCCAAUCAAACCUGGAGAUAGCUGGUUCUCCCCGAAAGCUAUUUAGGUAGCGCCUCGGACGAAUACUACUGGGGGUAGAGCACUGUUAAGGCUAGGGGGUCAUCCCGACUUACCAACCCUUUGCAAACUCCGAAUACCAGUAAGUACUAUCCGGGAGACACACGGCGGGUGCUAACGUCCGUCGUGGAGAGGGAAACAACCCAGACCGCCAGCUAAGGUCCCAAAUUACUACUAAGUGGGAAACGAUGUGGGAAGGCUCAGACAGCCAGGAUGUUGGCUUAGAAGCAGCCAUCAUUUAAAGAAAGCGUAAUAGCUCACUGGUCGAGUCGGCCUGCGCGGAAGAUGUAACGGGGCUAAGUAGUAAACCGAAGCUGCGGCAAUGUGCUUUUGCACAUUGGGUAGGGGAGCGUUCUGUAAGCGGUUGAAGGUGUGUGGUAACGCAUGCUGGACGUAUCAGAAGUGCGAAUGCUGACAUGAGUAACGAUAAAGGGGGUGAAAAACCUCCUCGCCGGAAGACCAAGGGUUCCUGUCCAACGUUAAUCGGGGCAGGGUAAGUCGACCCCUAAGGCGAGGCCGAAAGGCGUAGUCGAUGGGAAACGGGUUAAUAUUCCCGUACUUCUUACAAUUGCGAUGGGGGGACGGAGAAGGCUAGGUGGGCCUGGCGACGGUUGUCCAGGUUCAAGUGCGUAGGCUUAAGAGUUAGGUAAAUCCGGCUCUUUCUAAGGCUGAGACACGACGUCGAGCAUCUACGGAUGUGAAGUCAUUGAUGCCAUGCUUCCAGGAAAAGCCUCUAAGCUUCAGAUUGUAAGGAAUCGUACCCCAAACCGACACAGGUGGUCGGGUAGAGAAUACCAAGGCGCUUGAGAGAACUCGGGUGAAGGAACUAGGCAAAAUGGUACCGUAACUUCGGGAGAAGGUACGCUCUCGACGGUGAAGUCCCUCGCGGAUGGAGCUAUUGAGAGUCGCAGAUACCAGGUGGCUGCAACUGUUUAUUAAAAACACAGCACUGUGCAAAAUCGUAAGAUGACGUAUACGGUGUGACGCCUGCCCGGUGCCGGAAGGUUAAUUGAUGGGGUUAGACUUCGGUCGAAGCUCUUGAUCGAAGCCCCGGUAAACGGCGGCCGUAACUAUAACGGUCCUAAGGUAGCGAAAUUCCUUGUCGGGUAAGUUCCGACCUGCACGAAUGGCGUAAUGAUGGCCACGCUGUCUCCACCCGAGACUCAGUGAAAUUGAAAUCGCUGUGAAGAUGCAGUGUACCCGCGGCUAGACGGAAAGACCCCGUGAACCUUUACUACAGCUUGGCACUGAACAUUGACCCUACAUGUGUAGGAUAGGUGGGAGGCUUUGAAGCACGUACGCCAGUAUGUGUGGAGCCGUCCUUGAAAUACCACCCUUGUAGUGUUGAUGUUCUAACGUCGACCCCUUAUCGGGGUUGCGGACAGUGCCUGGUGGGUAGUUUGACUGGGGCGGUCUCCUCCCAAAGAGUAACGGAGGAGCACGAAGGUGGGCUAAUCACGGUUGGACAUCGUGAGGUUAGUGCAAUGGCAUAAGCCCGCUUGACUGCGAGAAUGACAAUUCGAGCAGGUGCGAAAGCAGGUCAUAGUGAUCCGGUGGUUCUGAAUGGAAGGGCCAUCGCUCAACGGAUAAAAGGUACUCCGGGGAUAACAGGCUGAUACCGCCCAAGAGUUCAUAUCGACGGCGGUGUUUGGCACCUCGAUGUCGGCUCAUCACAUCCUGGGGCUGAAGUCGGUCCCAAGGGUAUGGCUGUUCGCCAUUUAAAGUGGUACGCGAGCUGGGUUUAGAACGUCGUGAGACAGUUCGGUCCCUAUCUGCCGUGGGCGUUGGAAGAUUGAAGGGGGCUGCUCCUAGUACGAGAGGACCGGAGUGGACGAACCUCUGGUGUUCGGGUUGUGUCGCCAGACGCAUUGCCCGGUAGCUAAGUUCGGAAUCGAUAACCGCUGAAAGCAUCUAAGCGGGAAGCGAGCCCUGAGAUGAGUCUUCCCUGAUACUUUAAGUAUCCUAAAGGGUUGUCGGAGACUACGACGUUGAUAGGUCAGGUGUGUAAGUGCUGUGAGGCAUUGAGCUAACUGAUACUAAUUGCCCGUGAGGCUUAACCAU
This 2891-nucleotide ribosomal RNA is filed under the name Vibrio parahaemolyticus BB22OP. Its description in RNAcentral is "bacterial LSU rRNA". It matches the Rfam family "Bacterial large subunit ribosomal RNA". Lineage: Bacteria; Pseudomonadati; Pseudomonadota; Gammaproteobacteria; Vibrionales; Vibrionaceae. The record is from RNAcentral.